Long non-coding RNA from Struthio camelus australis, 273 nucleotides. RefSeq lists it as uncharacterized. The record is from RefSeq and is a predicted model, not a curated record. Lineage: Eukaryota; Metazoa; Chordata; Aves; Struthioniformes; Struthionidae.
UUACACAUCAAGGUGUACUAUAACGCGGAAUGGGAAUUGAGACUCUUGGAAAAUAGGAAAGAAAAAAACCAGCCUGCGUGAAAAAUUGCUGCUUUCCUUCUACAUCUGCAAAUGUUCCUCUUCAAGGGAGAUGCAAGGUAAAGAGCUCACAGCUCAACUCCUCUGGACAGCGAAAGGCAAGAAGGUAAAGGAGAGGUAUUUUUGGCUCCUGUUUCUGCUAACGAAGCACGCAAGGCAGCAGAAGAGCUGACCGCAGAGGAGACGAGGAACGGC